Pleuronectes platessa (European plaice) is the source of this 284-nucleotide long non-coding RNA. RefSeq lists it as uncharacterized. Lineage: Eukaryota; Metazoa; Chordata; Actinopteri; Pleuronectiformes; Pleuronectidae. The record is from RefSeq and is a predicted model, not a curated record. The transcript has 4 exons.
GUUUUGUUUACUUUCCUGAGAGUUCCUGAGUGGAGUUUGGACUUUUGGACACACUUCGCGUAGCGGUGGAAACAGGCUCCGGCACGUUUGCCUCCUCGCUCCGGUGCACAAACCCAUUUUGAACUCCACAGAGGAAGAGAGUGCAGGAACGGGGCCGGUCCUUGCACACGAGGAUCCCAAGGAUGAGUGUGGCGGGAGCUAAACUGUGAGACAAGGAUUCCGGAGGCCCGGCUGCUGAAUGACGGCUUCCCAUUGGGAUCAUCAAGCUUCUCACCUGAAUGUAA